UGCUUCGGCCGGGAGUCGAACCUGUCAGCUGCUUUGAAGACAGCUAUGCUAACUAUUAUACCACCGACGC
Araneus ventricosus is the source of this 70-nucleotide non-coding RNA. Lineage: Eukaryota; Metazoa; Arthropoda; Arachnida; Araneae; Araneidae. The record is from the annotation of a GenBank genome assembly.